This 337-nucleotide ribosomal RNA is filed under the name Aplanochytrium stocchinoi. Its description in RNAcentral is "partial Bacterial small subunit ribosomal RNA". It matches the Rfam family "Bacterial small subunit ribosomal RNA", at positions 1 to 356 of the family's 1533-position model. Lineage: Eukaryota; Bigyra; Thraustochytrida; Thraustochytriidae. The record is from RNAcentral.
UGUAGAGUUUGAUCCUGGCUCAGAUUGAACGCUGGCGGUAUGCCUAACACAUGCAAGUCGAACGAGGUAGCAAUACCUAGUGGCGGACGGGUGAGGAAUACGUAGGGAUCUGCCUUUAAGUGGGGGAUAACCCGGGGAAACCCGGAUUAAUACCGCAUGAUCUCGCAAGAGCAAAGUGGGGGAUCGCAAGACCUCACGCUUUUAGAGGAACCUACGUCGGAUUAGCUUGUUGGUGAGGUAAUGGCUCACCAAGGCGACGAUCCGUAACUGGUCUGAGAGGAUGAUCAGUCACACCGGAACUGAGACACGGUCCGGACUCCUACGGGAGGCAGCAGUG